Molecule: long non-coding RNA, 7366 nt
Organism: Ailuropoda melanoleuca (giant panda)
Lineage: Eukaryota; Metazoa; Chordata; Mammalia; Carnivora; Ursidae
Exons: 3
Source: RefSeq, a predicted model, not a curated record
UCUCUGUCUCUCAAAUAAAUAAAAUCUUAAAAAAAGAAAACAAAACAAUGUCCUGCAGAAAGCAGCUCUCCAGCAUCACCUGGGAGCUUGCUGGAAAUGCAGAGUCUCAGGCCCCACCCCAGACUUUCAGAAUCUGCGUUUUAAUAAGAUCCCCGUAGACUGCCGUUUCCAAAGUGGGGAAACUGCACUAGAGUUCCCUUAGCUAUUACGUGGCAAUAAUAGUGCUAUUGGAAAGCCAGUGCGGCAACACGUAGAGCUCCUAGAAUCCUAGAACGUUCUGGAAUACUCACUGCCCAGGAAAGAGGCGAGAGGACUGUUCAGAAGGAAGGACAUGGGGUAGAGGUCGGCAUUUGCUUUGGAAACAUUCCCGUAGGAUUUACCACCGGCUGGUGAAAAGUCCGGUAAAUGCUCGGUGUUGGUCUGUGGUGGGUGCAGCUCCAAGGGGGAAAACCGUGGAAUAAGGCCAGGGCCUUGUCUCAGAGGGUCCAAGUCCUUUGACAGAGGGUAGGGCACAAGAUACUCCGUUUUCGCUAUUGACAUGCAAGUCGAGCCGAGGAGAGGGGAAAUUGUUCCAAGCAGAAACUUUCCCAAACCCAAGGUGCCAGCACUUUACCGUACCACAGUUUCUAGAGGUAUCAGUCGACCUUUCCACUGCUCACAUUAGAAAAGGGUAAGAGUCAUUUGAACCACAGUACGCUUACUGAGUAAACUGCACGUCCUUCAGACAAAUGCCCUAAUUUGAUAUCCUCAAUAUUCAAGUGUGCUUGUUUGUCUGCAGAUGACUAUAGUUGCUUUAAAUUUUCAGUCUGCUAAAGAGAAAGCAUUUUAAAAUCUAUUCUUGAAGCUAUUUAGGUGAUCGCACACGUCUUACUGUAUUGAUAAUGUCAUUUUUUCUGUAAAAAUAAAAAGACUCUUGCUUGUCCUAAUCAUUCAUACAUGUAACAGUUAACCAUCUCCCAGAUAACCCCAUUUAAAUCUCCCAAAAUGAUUAAGUCCCUGUAAAUAUUUUAAACAUAUUGACAAAUUUUAAUAAUUCUUUCCAGUACAUCAGACUCCCCACUGAGGCGAAUUCAAAUGGAGGCUGCAAAUUCUUGCUCAGCACAAAACAAUUGAAAUAUUAGAAAUGUAAAUCACGUUCUCUGGAGCAGUUCAAAGCUGUUUACUAACAGUUCUCUUCCACCUCCAAAAUGAAAAUAACACAUCUCAUCUCAAUUUCACAUUCCAGAUAAAAACCCCCAAGCGAAUAUAUGCCAGAUUCUCUUACGAGUUCAAGCUUCUUAAAUGAAUCCACAGGUUGUAUGUGUAUAAACCCGCUGAACACCCCCAAAAUCUUCAUACUGAGAGUUGGAUUUCCUUCAUCCAUGCACUUCUUUCUACAUAGCUGAUCUCAAGUCCCCCUGUCACUCAUUGCUGGGUUUUCGGGUCACAACUGUGACAUGCAUCAGCGGGGAGUCCGAACCAGGACCCAGAAUGAGGUGCUCACCCGCUUCCAGGCUCCACCCAAGGCACCAGGGAGCUCAUGGCAUGGACUCCAGAGUCCAGCAUUGUUUGCUUUGUCACCAGGGUCCCCGGGCCAAGGCCUCUCCUCUGGGGCUUUGUCUGCAGCCUGUCACCACACUCCCUUGCUGGUCAUCUUUUGUAUCUCACCGUGGGCUGCUUUUCAUCAUGAACCAUUCCAGUUUGCUCUAAAUGAUUGGGUACGUGGAGUUUUCUACCCUGACGAAGGGGGCAGUUGAUUGUUCUGCAUCAGUGGGAGGAACGCAUCGAGUCUCUUUCUUGCCCAGCUAGGGCAUGCAUUUCUUUUGUAUUUUCAUCUGCCUCUGCCCAUACCUUUGGAGGGAAUUUGCUGACAGCCUGAUGAAGGCCAAUCUGGAAAUACAGAUCCUCUUUCUUUGGCCUGUCAAGCCUUCAGUGAAAUCCUAUGACCAUUGCAAAUCCCAGGCCUGUCUCAGGAACCUCUGUGUCCUCUGUCCCUGAAUAAGGACCAGUGCCCGAAGGGUACAGUCAGUAGGGUGAGUGAGUUACCAGAACUGAGGACAGAUAAGAUUUCCUUAGGUUGUAAGGACAUCAGAGGCUUUGUCAGUUCUUUGGCCUGUGCCACGGGGGGGACUGUGGCAUGGAUGGUGUCCCAGGGUGGCGUGCAUGGUGGGGAGUGCCUCUGAGCUGCCCCAUCUAAACCCAGCCCGGGACUAGGGUCUGCCUUCCUGUCACUGAGGGAAGAAAUACAACCUCUCACGACAUCAGUGCCUUUCAAGGGAGACACAUGGGCUCAGGUGUGCCCUGCUACUUCCCAGCUGGGCACAUCACCUCCCUACAUGGUGUCACCAAUGCCACUUUCCGUCUGUGCUGGCACAUUGUAGGCAGUUAAUAGGGGACAGUAAGUAUUAAUACAGUUUCUUUUUUAAUUAGCUAUGCUUUGUUAAGCUAUUUUAAAUAUUCUUAAGGCAAAAAGGCCUGACUCUAGAAAAAUACUGGUAAGGGGAGUCCUCUUCCCAUCUUUGAGCUCUGUGGUGGGCUGAAUACUGGUCCCCACAGUCCACGCCCUAAUACCUGGAGCCUGCGAUUACUUUACCUGGCAGAUGGGACUUUGCAGAUGUAAUUAAGGAUCUGGAGAUGGGGAGAUGAUUCUGGAUGAUCUGGGUGGGCCUUCAUCAAGAGGUAGGCCAGAGUGUGAAAGUCAGAGAAGAAGUGAUGGAGAUAGAGGUUGGAGCGCAGUAGGCCGUCAGCCGAGGCAUGCGAACGGCCUGUAGAAGUUAGAGCAGGCAAGGGCCCGGAGCCUCCCCUAGAGGUUCCAGAAGAACGGCAGCCCUGCUGACUGACUGGCCUCCUGGCCUCCCGAACCACAGGCACACCUGGUUUCAUGUAGCACUUGGUAGGUCAUGUGUUUCUUACAAAUUGAAGGUUUGUGGCCACCCUGAGUGGAGCAAGUCUUGGUGCCAUUUUUCUAACAACAUUUGCUUGCUUUAUGUCUCUGUGCCAAUAAAGUAUUUUAAAAUUAAGGCCCAUGCAUUGUUUUCUUUUCUUUUUUUUUAAGAUAUAAUGUUAUCGCACAUGCAAUCAGCCGAGGUGUAGUACCAACACAACUUUUACCUGCAGUGGGGGACCAAGAAGUCCCUUUGGCUCGCUUUAUUUUUUUAUUGUUUUUAAAAGAUUUUGUUUAUUCAUUUGAGACACAGAGAUACAGAUAGAGCACGAGCAGGUGGAGAACAGAGGGAGAGGGAGAAGCAGGCUCCCUGCUGAGCCAGGAGCUCGAUGUGGGUCUCGAUCCCAGGACCCUGGGAUCAUGACCUGAGCUGAGGCAGACCAUCUGAGCCACCCAGGCGCCCCUGGCUUGCUUUACUGUGAUGUCUGCUCUGUUGCGGUGGUGGGGAUGGAAUCUGCAAUAGCUCCGAGCUAGAUGCCCGUAGAAGGUAAUAAAUCCUUGUUAUCUUCAGCUACGACGUGUGUGGUAAUUUAUUGUGUCAGCCGUAGGAGACUAAUACACGCUCCAUCAUCCAGGCCUCUGGGAAGUCUGGCUGCUUCCCUGAUGUCAGUGGCCCAGGUUAGAGGCCUGAGGCUCUGGAGAAACCACUCCAGCUUCAAAGGCCUGAGUUGGCAAUGUUGGUGCUUGGGAGGCCGCCAUGGCUGUCGGACCAGAGCCGCAGCCCCAGUCACGCUAGCCCACAGAGGAGGGAGAUGGAAGCUACAGCCGGAAACCCCAAAAGGGCCAGAAUGGCUGGGCCUGCAGGAAGUUGGGGAGCUGGUUAGCAGCAUGGGGCUGAGGGGUUGAGGGCUGCAGGCAGGACACAACCGAGGCCACUAAGCUGUUUGAGAAAAUCAGGAGCUGAGGUUUUAUUUCAUUUUCAGUUUCUGUGGGUCAGACCUAAUGGAGAUGUCCCCUUGUCCUUUCAGAAUUUUCUGACCCUCCCAGUCUGUACUCACUGCAAAAUUCUUUUUAGUUCCAAAUUUAGACCCGGUGGUGAAAGUAGCAUUUCAGGAAGAGAGGAAGGAGCCAUUCUCAUGACAAGGUGUCAUUUGUGGAUGAAGCUCGAUCGCUACUCGGUUAUGUGCUGAUAAGGACACUUGCAGUUAGUUGCCGGAGUCACAAAACGCAAGCUGCGCGGCUGAAGCCAGAGGCUGGUUUUACCGGCUUGGAUAACCGAAGUGUGCGGGCUCCUGCUGGCUGCCCAGAUGCCUGAGGCAGGGGCUCCCGUGACUCCAGCAGGACAUGGUUUCUCUGGAUUGACCCCAUUCUCACGUAGGCUCUCCCUCCCAGGGGGCGAAACGGCCAGGGCUCCAGGCUCACAACCUUGCAAUUUCGAGUUUAGCAAAGAGACUCGAGGAGAGAGCGACAUCCCCCAGAGGUGUGCAACAUGGUGGCCUCAGCCAGGGCCACGGGGUUGCUCACUGGCUGCGUCCGGCCUGUGUGUGCACCCUAGAGGGGAGGGUGCAGCCCCCCCCACCGGCCACCUGGACGUGCAGCGGAGGCGGCAGGGCCCUUUCUGGCAAGCGACCCACAAGACGCUGCCUCCCCACAAAACUCGCGUAAGGGGUGGGCUCUCCAGAAGCUGAUGCUGGCCAGCCAACAAACAGGACAUCCUCCACGACAGCGGGAAGGAACGGAGUCCCCGCGCAGGUCAGGGGCUGUGACUGGAGGCGAGGGCAAUUGGGGCUGGCACGACGGCCGGCACCGCGUCACAGGCCGCUGCCCUCACCGCCCUGCUCAUACGCAGCCAACUUCCACCUCCUGUUCUUGCAUCUCUGUGCCCGGGGACUUUCCUCCCAGAGCCACUGAAGGCCACCCUGCCCGAGGAUGAGCAGGCCACCAGAGGUAGCUUCUAGGAAGAAUGCGCGCCAGCUCCCUCCCCCCUCGGAUGGCAUUACUGGGAGGCUCGGGCUUGGCAAGGUUUCACAGCGUUAUCCCAACAGGAUUAAGCCCAGCUGCCCACAGAGCUCAGGGCACAGGCAGCCCCGGGAGGUGGCUUUGGGGAUACCCCACAUGAACACAGAGCCCAUUCGCAGGGACGUGCCCCAGAGUGACCCCCUGAGAGCCCCCAUCCAGACCCUUGAGAUGCAUCCUAGGGGAGUCCCGGGCCCCGUCCAAACACCGUCCUAGAACACGUGGACCUGCUGGUUGGAGAGUCUCCGCCUGAGGCACGUUGAGAAGGAAACACCAAGCGAGCAGGGAGGGGGCCACCUCCUCUCUCUGGGCCGCAGGCCCGUGUUUCCUCACGUGCAGCUGGCGGCUGGCAGCCGGGAAAACAAGGCGCCUCCGGUGGGCUCGCAGAGGAGUGGGGCAUCCUGGUGUCAGGCCCGUGGGCACUCAGAAAACUGUCCCUGGGCACCUGUGGGAGACUCGAGGCUUAGGAGCAAAAUUCCCCUCUUAAAAUUCAAGGCAAUGGGAAAACAGUUCUGUAUGCAAAACUUUUCACUGUAGGUUAUAUUUAGGACACUUAUAUCCACGAAGUGCCGCCCGGAGGAGGGCAGACGUUGGGUAGAGCAACUAACCCAGAGCCCAGUAAGCACCCCCCACCCUCCCCACCCACCACCUGAAAAUGCCGUUUGAGAAGGCGGGUCUUAAAACGAGCUGGGUGGAUGUUGCCCUCCAGCGGCCAAGCGCGUCCUUACAGCGUGUGGCGGGGGGAGAGCGGCAGGGAGCAAAACCAGAGCUCUCACCGCGACAUCCUGCCCUGCUUCCAUUUGCUCUGCUACCAACGUGUCUCAACCAGGGAAUUUCUGGGAUGGCGAGAGCCCUUGGCCUGUGCCACAGAGGGACAGCGGGAGCAGCCGGGCACGCUUAGCAGGAGAAAAACAAGGGCUAACAUUUGUUGAGCACUUCUUUGGUCCAAGUCUUAAGCCAUUUACGUGCAUUCAGUCUUCACACAGACUAUUAUUAUCCCUUUAAAAACCCUGAAACCAAGGCACAGAAAUCUUAAGUUAGUGAUGGGGAUUUGAACCCAGGUCCCUCUAAUCCCCAGAAGCAGAAACCGCGUUUCUUUCACCUUAUUAGUGGUUCUCAGACCCUGCUGAGCUCAAGAAUUGUUCUGGAAGUUUGUCAAGGAUGCAGAGUCCAGUCCAGGGCUCUGCCCCUGAGAACGUGAUGUAGUGGGUCUAAAAGGAGCAAAGACACCUGAGGAUCUGUCCUUAGGACAUUCCUGGUAGAACCCAGCAAGUAAUCCAAGCAGGUUCACGGGCCACACUUUAGGAAACACCUAAGUAAAAUCUCAUCAUUGCCAAGAGGGCGAUCUGGAUAUGGGAAAGAACUUCCUUUUUUUUGUUGUUUUUUUCGUUUUUUUGUUUAAGAUUUUAUUUACUUAUUUGAGAGAGAGAGAGAGAGAAUGAGCAGGGUGGAGGGGCAGAGGGAGAGGGAGCAGCAGACUCCCCACUGGGCAGGGAGCCCGCCAAGGGGCUUCAUCCCAGGACCCUGAGAUCAUAACCUGAGCUGAAGGCAGAUGCUCAAUGGACUGAGCCACCCAGGUGCCCCAAGAGAGAACUUUCUAGUCAUGUAUGCAGAUUCAAUUCAUGUCUGCAUGCCAAGCAUUUUGAUAGGUGCUCUCACGAACACAGUCUCAGCCCCCUCCCUGGUAACUCUGGGGGCUCCGUGUCCCCAGUGUGCAGAUGACGAUGCCUCUCAAGAGGAAACAACCCCCCCCACUUUUUUCUACUUGGAGGUUCCUUUCAGUCAGCAUUCCACUCUGUGUUUACAGUGGGUCUCCCGUGAUGCCCUCCAAAAUAGGCCACUGCUGCAUAGGGAUCAUCUUGAACUGAAGGCAACCGGGAAGCAGAUACAAGAAAGGCUCCCUGUUCUCCUCCUAUUUGCUGGAAAGCGGGACACACAAUCGUGAAAGCGUCCCCUUCUGCCCUUUCUACAGGGAAGACAGAAGUUGAUCACCAGAGAGAACUCUAUCCCCAUAUCAGCCCACGAUGGCACCGGAGGAGCCCACAUUACAAACCUUGCUAAAACUGGCCCUUUGUUAGCAUUCAUUUCCCCGUUUGCCUUCCCACAAUUUGCUGCCCUAGAAACUCAGUCUUUUUUCUUUGUCUUGCUGUUUCUCUAAAAAUGCAUUGUUCUUCUGUCGAGAUGCUGUAUAAGGCCAAGUUCUAACCACCCUUCUCAGUUAUUCAACUCAGCACUCCUGUGCGAAUGUGGGAGGAAUGUGUCAAAAAACUUCCGUUUUUCGCUUGUUGAUCUGUCCUUUAUUCGUCAAAACUCCACCCUUUGUCAUUAACUUACGUUUACCUCAUUUGGUACUUCAAAAUGAAGGAUAACUUGGUAUAUUAAAAAGUUAAUGAAGAUUAAAAAUUAUCUCAAUUUUCUUGGGGCGCCUGGGUGGCACAGCGGUUAAGCGUCUGCCUUCGGCUCAGGGCGUGAUCCCGGCGUUAUGGG